ACCGUAGUGAUUCUAGGGCUAAUACAUGCGUUACGAGGGACUUUUUGGAACCUCAGUAUUUAUUAGAUUUCAAACCAAUAUUCCGCAAGGUCUACUGAGAUGAUUCAUGAUAACUGAUCGAAUUGCCGGUCUACCGGCAAUAAGUCAUUCAUGUUUCUGCUUCCCAUCAGCUUGAUGGUAGUGUAUUGGACAACCAUGGCAUUCACGGGCUAUCGGGGGAUUAGGGUUCGAUUCCGGAGAGGGAGCCUGAGAAACGGCUACCACUUCUACGGAAGGCAGCAGGCGCGAAAAUUAUCCAAUCCUGAUUCAGGGAGGUAGUGAAAGAGAUAAUGAACUAGGAUUUAUCCUGGGGUCACAAUGGGCUUGAUUUGCAAACUUUAUUUAGCGAGGAACAAUUGGAGGGCAAGUCUGGUGCCAGCAGCCGCGGUAAUUCCAGCUCCAAUAGUGUAUAUUAAUGUUCCUGCAGUUAUUCGAUGCUCGUAGUUGGAUUUCUGGGGGCUGAGAUUGGAAGGUGGCCAAGGUCACCGCCGAACUCUUCCUUCAUCCACCUGUUAACGUUGUCCGGGAUUUGUUUCUCGGCUUCAGGCUCAGGUAUUUUACCCUUUCUAUAUAUUCGUUUAUUUAUCUUCUUUUUGAGUAAAUUAUAGUGUUUCAGGCAGGCGUGCGCCGGAAUACUUUAGCAUGGAAUAAUCGAAUUGGACCGUGUAUUCUUAUAGAAUUCUUCCUUAUUCGUUGGUUUCAAGGACACGGAAAUGGUUAAUAGGGAUAGUGUUUUCAGGGGAGGCAUUAGUAUUUAAUUUCCAGAGGUGAAAUUCUUUGAAAUAUUAAAGACUAACUUAUGCGAAAGCAUUUAUUUUGCCAAUAAUGUUUUCAUUAAUCAUUGAACGAAAGUUAGGGGAUCAAAGACGAUCAGAUACCGUCCUAGUCUUGACCAUAAACGUUGCCGACUAGGGAUCGGAGGGCGUGCACAUUCCGCCUUCGGCACCUUACGAGAAAUCAAAGUCUUUUGGGUUCUGGGGGUAGUAUGGUCGCAAGGCUGAAACUUAAAGGAACUGACGGAAGGGCACCACCAGGAGUGGAGCUUGCGGCUCAAUUUGACUCAACACGGGAAAUCUUACCAGGUCCAGACAUAGCGAGGAUUGACAGAUUGAUAGCUCUUUCUUGAUUCUAUGGGCAUUUAUUUUAAUUUUGGUGGUGCAUGGCCGUUCUUAGUUGGUGGAGUGAUUUGUCUGGUUAAUUCCGUUAAACGAACGAGACCUCAGCCUGCUAAAUAGUUACCUGUCUUUCUG
Molecule: ribosomal RNA, 1289 nt
Filed under: metagenome
Description: SSU rRNA
Rfam family: Eukaryotic small subunit ribosomal RNA
Source: RNAcentral